This 390-nucleotide ribosomal RNA is filed under the name uncultured Scuticociliatia. RNAcentral describes it as "partial small subunit ribosomal RNA". It matches the Rfam family "Eukaryotic small subunit ribosomal RNA", at positions 30 to 432 of the family's 1831-position model. Lineage: Eukaryota; Ciliophora; Oligohymenophorea. The record is from RNAcentral.
GCUUGUCUCAAAGAUUAAGCCAUGCAUGUCUAAGUAUAAAUAGUAUACAGUGAAACUGCGAAUGGCUCAUUAAAACAGUUAUAGUUUAUUUGAUAAUUGAAAAUUACAUGGAUAACCGUGGUAAUUCUAGAGCUAAUACAUGCUAUCAAGCCCGACUUCUUGAAGGGUUGUAUUUAUUAGACUUAAGCCAAUAUUCCUUGUGUCUAUUGCGAUGAUUCAUAAUAACUGAUCGAAUCUCAAAUUUGAGAUAAAUCAUUCAAAUUUCUGCCCUAUCAGCUUUCGACGGUAGUGUAGUGGACUACCGUGGCGUUAACGGGUAACGGAGAAUUAGGGUUCGAUUCCGGAGAGGGAGCCUGAGAAACGGCUACCACAUCCAAGGAAGGCAGCAGG